UGAGUGAGGAUGUUGAUAAGUCAUCCUGAAACAUGAUAUUCUAUGCAGUUCUCAGUUAGUUUGCUGUAUGAAUUCUUGAAUCAGUGUGGACUUAGAAGCCCUUUCUAUUCUGCUUCGCGGAAGCUGCUAGCCGGAGAACGUAAAAAUCCUCUCCUGGCUUAGAGCUGGCAUUAGAGGAUGCGUACCAUCCUUAUGACUGGAUGGAGGAAGAAGCCGGUUUUUAAAGAAAGAAACAACCACCACGAAGAACAUCCUUCUCAACAGAAAUGAUGUAAACUAGUAAAGGAAUGAAGAGUACAAGUUGCUGGGCUGGGAGAAGGUGGUGAACUUGUCAUGCUGUAACUGGGUCUUUUCCUCUUCCUCCUUAGCCGAGGGCGUGUCCUUGUUUAUUCUUUUCAUUCUUUAAUAAAAUAUAGCUGGGCUUCAGCCGUCUUGUUUCUUAAAAAACCGAAGGAAUGAUGAUUGUGUAAAUCUUGAUAAAUACUGUAUGAAGGAGACAACGUGGUAUGAAGAGUCUCGGCAACUUGGCAUGUAACACAAAAUCCAAACUACCCAUGAUGGUUAUAGUCCAAAUGAUCUCGGGGAGAUUAAGAAACAUGCUGUCUGUCCCAUAAAAAAAAAAUUGAGAUGUAGCAGAAGCAAGAAGAUUCUGUUUUGGUUGCUGAGAAAGUGAAAGAAAAAAAGAUUUGUUAGGGAGGAAUCACUUUUCUGUUUUUUGGUAGUAAAAACAAAAUUCAAGGAGAGAGAGUCAAGAGAAAAUAAAGGAUCAAUUUUUUUUCCUUAACAACUCUAAAAUGUUUCCUUCUCCAAAUGGAAGCAAAUUUAAGAGAACAUAACAAGAAAGCAAUUGGUUCCUGAUAACUUGAUUAUAUCUUAACCACUUUUAUAACAACCUUCUUUAAAAUUUUCUCAUAUCAACCAAACAUGAAAAAUGCUUAACUUUUUUUUUUAAUUUUCUUUUCUGCUUUUUUUUUCGCCGCUACUUUGUUUUUCUCUCUCUUGUUUUUGCGGCAACCAAGACAGCUGAGAUGUUUCAUGGUGGGAAAGCCUCCGACUUCAAACAUUAAUAGACAAACAAUCAAAUUUUUGGUUUUACGUACCAUUGGAGGAGGAAAUGAAGGCAGUUCAUUUUAACAAGGCUCCAAAAAUACAUUGGAUUCUAGAAAAGAAGACAUCCUGUGAGUAUAGACUUCUUUGAAAAUGUUCUGUACAUGACAAAGGGAAUCGGGUUGUAUAUUCUAAUCUCAGAGUACCAGUCUUGCGGUUGCAGGAGUUCCAGCCAAAUGGUCUACAAUCUACAUACCCUAAUCUCUCUAGAACAGAAGGCAUUUGUGCUUGGUUCAGCCAUUACUAAUUAUUUUAGAAUGAACAUCAAUCUGUCCACCAUGAUCCAAGAAUCAAGGGAUAUAAUAUGGUCAAAACAAAUGACAUGGAGAAAUUUACCACAGGUUAUCAAGAGGAUUUAUUUAGGUAUGGUUGAAUAAAUUUCCUUCACCAAUGAUCCUACAGAUUUUAAAUAUAUAGAACAGAUGAAUUUACAAGGCAACCCCAUGCCUGCAAUAUUGUGUGUCAUGUGAAUUCUUCACUUAGUUUUUCCAUCAAGCAUAAGAACAAUCUCUUCUAAGCCAAAUGGCAAGCAAAUUAAAGAAUGCAGACAAAAGAUAUUUUGGCACCAGCAACAUCAUCUGGAGACUUUUUAGGUGCAAACAAAAUUUGGUGCCCAUACAAUCAAUGUUUCAUUGUUUCCCCCCUUUUUCCUUUGCUAGAAAUCAAUGAUCAGUUAUGUAGGAGACAACUUGAAAUUGGUAACUGGUAAUUUAAUAAUGCUCUUACACCAAAUUUAUACAACUUUCUUAGUAGUUAGGUGACAAAAGUACAUGAUUACGUGAAGUUUACGUUUCAAAAUUUUAUUAGUAGUAAAAGAAUCGCUCAACUCAAUUCUGGUCCAACUACCUAAUUGGCCAUAAAGAGUUAGGGUCUUAAAUUUGGACCUAAAUCUAAAGUAGGCAAUUCUUCUAAGCAAACUGCCCAUUUGCAUAUCUACAGCACUCUCAAUGUCACGAAUGUGAAUUUGGUUCCCUUUCAUUCCAAGUCAAUGAAUGAGGAGCUACCAUGAUUGGCUGGAAGAAAAGGGAAUUAGCUAUGUCAUUAGCAACUAUACCAAUUUGCCAAGUUCCAAUUUUUCACGCCAUGUUGCACUGAAAGGAAGGAGAUUAUUCUGGCAGAGAAUAUACACAAGCUUGCAGCGAGUGUGCUAGAUGCAUAUUUUUCCUAAUGUGAAAUGACAAAAUACCAAAUAGGAUCUGCACAAAUCAAUAUGGAGACUUUGCACUUAAAACUGAUAAUGUACCAGCUUUUAUUUGGUUGAUGUGUUCGAAGGCUCCACAGCAAAACAAUCCCGAUGGAUGUUUAGAAAAUAUCAUCAAAAAAAGUAAAUCAAAUUCUAGUUUCUUGAAUAGCAAAAUGAGUUGUGAUUAUUCUUAUACCAAUUUCUUCUGUCAGGAGUCAAUUUCUGCUGGGAGGCUUUGAACAAGUUAUUGCCAUCUGUCAAACAUGUUCAGCUCAUGACCCUACAAAUAAAAAUUGACCGCACUCCAUGAGGUCCUGAUGAUAAUAAUAAUAAGAAGAGGAAUAAUGAAACACAAUAGUGCAUACCUGUAUGUUUUCCAUCAUGGAACCGUGCAUUUUUUGAUGACUUAAAUGUUUCCAAGAAUUCUUUAGCCUUCUGCAGCUCUAGUUUCUGUCUAGCCUUGUCCCACUUGUGUUCAUCAGCCAAAAUCUUAAUAAUGCGUGGCAAAGCUCGCCCUGCUGCAUCAGUGUCGAGAAAAGCAAGCCGAGACCUCCUGGCAAUGAAAUCAAUAGCAGAUUCACAGUACUCAUGCCGAGCACAGUAUGCGACCUCAGCCUCCAGAAAUGGGUAUCCAUGUGCAAGCCGCUUCCCUAGAUUCUCAUUCUGCAAAACCAGAAAAAUUAGUGAGAUUACUUGAAGAAAUCAUCUGUCCAAACAAGUUUGCUCUGAGACUUCACACAUGUUAAGCAAGUGGAUUAUCUGCAGAUGGAAGCAUCUGGAGAUAACAAGAACUACGAUCUUAACCAACUAAUAGCUUCCCACCAAUCUGGUUUAACAUCAUAAAUACUGCUUGACACAUAAAUAUGUGUUGAAAGCACACAUCCACAUGAAAGCAAGCUUUCUCUUCCUCCCACCACCACGGGCCCAUAUUUCAUUAUUGUAGGUUUUCUUUCAAAUUGCUUUAAAAAUCGAUCACUUCCUUUUAAACUUCACUGCACCAGACCAUACACAUUAUAAUCCAGCCAAAACUAUAUCCAUAACAACUAGCUUACUCUACCUAUUUGUUUAUAAAUUCUUAUUCACAUUAAUUCCUGUAGAUAUCUAAACCUUUAUUUAGUCAAUAUGAUAAUUUUUCUAAUAUUUUCCAUCUAUUUUUUUCUUAGGGAUUCCACCUAUCAUUAACCGUCCACAGAAGUUAAAUAAUUCCUUAUUGCUAGGGCCUCAGAUUUACAUUGCCCAAUAACCCAUACCAUCUAAUUCAUUUUACCACAUUAUCCCUCAUAUGAUCUUAAAGCAUUUGCCAUCACAGUCAUAUAACAGUAUAACUCUGAUAACUAGAAAAUUUUUGGCAUCCCAGAUAUUGCUAGAGAUGUUGCUUUUACUGAAUCAUUUUGGGUGCUGUCAAUUUAACAAGAAUACAAGAACAUCUAGCUAAAUCUGUAAGAAUACCAUUGGCUAAAAAACAAAAAAAGAUGCACAAGACACAAGGAUUAAAAAGUCAUGAAAACUGAUCUCAUUUAUGCAGAAAAUUUUGAAGGCCUUCUUGAACUGCGAUAGGAAUCAAACAUUGCAGACUUAUUUGGAACAUAAAAUAUAUGUACUUAUGUUGUAUAUAGGAAAGCAGUUUUACAUAACAAAGAGAAUAUAUAAUGUGUCAUAGAUCUAAUGUGGUCGCAAGGGGCAUACUGCUAAUGCACCUAGAAUAUGCAGAGUUGGUAAUAGAAAUCUGCUGAUGAAAAGAUUUCCAAAGAAUAAAAUUUCUUUAGCUCAUUAUAAAGACUUUCACUACAUUCAUAAAUUAUAUACACAAGGCAUAUCCAAUUGAUUUGGGUUGACUACAUGGAAGCCUAUGUCACCUUUGGUUCCUAUUCAAAGUUAUUCCUCCUCAGAUGAAAUUUCCGUCCGGUAAUUUAGGACUACAGCUACAUCUCAUAAUUCUGUCUCUUUUCUUGUCCGAUUUGUCCUAAACAUAUCUUUACCUGUAAUACGUCGACCUUAAAUCGUCCUCAUCUUAUGCUCAAGGUUCCUUGUUGAGUAACAUCUUGAUCCACAGAUGUAACUGUAGUAAGAUUAUACUAUGAAGUGUAGAUGAGUAUGACAACUGCAACUGCUAUUGUGAAGUGCCCCUUCACUAAAUCAAAGGGAUCAUAAGCAAUCUCGUCCCUUAAUUCUAACAUGUAUUCCCACUAAAGAUGCACCUAGUAAAGCCUGUUUCAAUUUAACAUGCAUUUGAAGUUUUGAACCAAUAUUGUCCAAGGUAUGCCUAAGGCAUGCCCUGAGGUGCAGUGAGGUGCCACCAGCGCUUUGCCUGCCUCAAGUCGAAGCCCCUUUACUUAGACACUAAAAUGGUGCGCCUUUUUUGUGCCUUGAGUAAAAUGCUCAGAUGCAAAAAAGCAUGCCUUUUCUGUAAGUAAUCUCAGCUGUCAAUCUGUCAGGGUUUGACCAAAAUUUUGGGGCUUUGGGGCCAAAAGAGAGAUGGAGCUGAAGUGGUAGAUAGACAGACAGAACGAAAAAAAGGUGGAUCUAGGGCUCCAAUAGAUAGAUUGAGAGAAAAGGAAGAUUAGGGCUCAAACCAAAGCUUCGGCAGCAGCCACCCUUCCAUCCAGCAAGUCAUCCAACUCUUCUUCUUCAAUAGAUGCUGUUGCAGCUACAGCUGCAGAUAUGGUUCUGUCCAUCAGAAACAGGACAAAACACAACAACUCUGAUUUUUUCGAUAUUUGACAUGCCUUGUCCUCCGUAUGUCUAUAAAUGUGAAUUUGAAUAUCUUUUAUUGGUAUUUAUAUUUGCAUUCAUAAAUUGAUAAUUUCAUUGUCAAAUUGUUUAGAAUCAUGUAUUCAUUAUCAUUUAUAGAUAUUGCACCUAGUGUCUAGGUUUCAAGUAUUCCUUGGCACCUGAGGGUGCCUUGAGCCAUGGACAACUUUGAACUGAACCUCUAUUUUUUGCAACUUCCAAAUUUCAAAUUAAAGUUGGUCUCUUAAUGUCAAUAAACAAAAGAAUAUUAUAAAUAAAUAACAUGUACAAUAAAGCACCUGGUUGGAUAUUUAUAGUUAUUAAGGUAUUCACUGCAUAAACCCCUCAAUGAUGGAAGUUGAGAGGAUGAGUAGAGGCAAAGGACAUGACAUUGUUUUGACCAGGAAGCCUCUGGAGCAUGCAAUCCUAUAAUUCUAGGAUAAUAGAUUCCAGCUUCAAUGUGAAUUUUGAUGUCCUUGCUCUACGGAAACUUUGUGAUAUAUGGUUUUUCUAGUUAUAAAAAUUUUUCAUCCUCACCGAUAAGAUCUUCCACAAGCCAACUACAAAGAAUAUUCAUUGGAUUACCUCUCCGGGGAUCCAAAAAGACCCUAGAUGUUAGCAUAUGCUCAACAAUGGAAGCAUAUCUUUUCUGAUGGGUUUGCUCGUUCAAGUCAAAAAUUUUCCACAAGCAAACUUACAAUUAAUUGGGUAAAAAGAACUACAAAAAAUAUAAAUAAAAUAAAAUUUCUCCUUUUCAUUCACUAGAACAGAUGAUAAGAAUAAGUGAUUUUUUACUACUACUAUCAGCUCCAAAGCUGCUGGCAGACCAGUCUACCAGCUAAUGUUUAUUUUAGAAUUAAUAGUAACCUUGGCGCCCAAACAAAAUUUUAGAAGAUUGAAGUAUCUCAUAUUGAAAUUGCAAUAAUUGCUUUCUAAAGAGCCAUUCUAAUGGUCAUUAUUUGAAUUAGCUACUGCAUUAACAAAAAUACAUGCAGAAUCUGCAGGAAUGGGUCCUUGAUAUUUGAUGCCGCACAGUCCAAUUAAUUAUUAUUUUCUUCCAAUCCAUCAUCUCCUACCAAAAGGCCCAUUUAGAAGCCUUGAUAAGAUUACAUUGAACUCACUGCUUUACGGUUCGUAGUUUGCUUGUAAGAUGAGGAAUUGAUAGCAAUUCCUUUGUUUCUGAGUCAAGUCAUGGAUUUAACUACCUCUAAAUCUGAUUUUAAUUGCACCCAAGAAUUUAUAAGGUGAGACAAGGUUUGCUGGUUAUAGUUAUUGUAGAAACCUGGAUUUUGACAACCCAUAAGAAAGAUAAGCGUCCUUGAUAAUGAUGCCCCAGAAUUCAGCAAUCCAAGAUAAGGGACCUGGUCAUGUCGUGAUAUGCAUUUCCAUGUAUUGCAUCCUUCAAUUUAGGGGAAGGGGCUUCCAGCCCACUUAAGUUGAACUGACAAACUGCCAAAAUGCUUCUGAUGCCAUAUUAAUUGCCGUCAUUAGAGUUCUGGACCAUAGAAGGAGGGGAGCAACAAAUGGUGGAUCCCCAUCCUUGGUUGUCUUUCAAAGCCAUACUAACUAGCAUCAGUUGCCUUCCAACGAGACCUCCUUGACCAUCGGAAGGCUCCCAACUUCUGCAAGAACUCAAACUCUCCCAAGUUGGUUGUUACAUGAUUUGGCUUGAUUUUCACGAGUUUUAGUCAUUUUUCAAUACUUUCUUUAGUCCCACAUUGGAUAUGCAGGAGCAGGGCCUCCCUUGAGAGCCCUAUAUAAACCCCCCAGCUCCUAAGGCUAGGAUCAAUCUAGAAACUAUUAAAAGCAAGGUCUGCCGUACCGCCCCGUAUAAGAUGUUCGUACUGUAUAUGGAGAAAACCAGUAUGAAACAUACUUUCAAGUCAGUACAAGCCCCGUACUGCUUGUACUGAGGUGUACCCCUCUGUACCAAGGCGUACCAAGGUCCGUACCGGUCCAUACCGAGGCGUACCAAGAUAAAAAUUAAGAAAAUGAUUAGAGAGCUAUUUCGACACAGAAAUGUACCGCACCGAACCAAUAAGAUACCGAUACGGUACCCGAUACCGAGAUUGCGGACCUUGAUUGCAAGUCUCAAUAAAGGAGCUCUAAGAUUUUGCAAGAGUAUACUUUGAGAGAUUAAGGCUCUCUUGUGUUGGAGGCCGUGAUUUCAAAACUUUUCGGUGUUCCUGGAGAGUGUGGAGGAUUCGUCUCAAUAAAGGAGCUCUAAGAUUUUGCAAGAACAUACUUUGAGAGAUUAAGGUUCUCUUGUAUUGGAGGCCAUGAUUUCAAAACUUUUCGGUGAGCCUGGAGGGUGUGGAGGAUUCACUAGUUCAACAAGGUGUGUGAGAGAUAUCAACCUAGGAUUAGCAUGUUAGAAAGUUUUUCAGUAUCUUCUUUUCCUUUUUUAAGUUAGCAUAGUUUUAUUUUUUGCAUUAGCAUGCACAGACUACUCCUAUAUAGUUAGCUUAUCCUAUCUUCUCUUUUGGGAUUCAAGAGAAGGCUAAGUGUUCCAAUACCACUACCUUCAAACAUGGCCAGUAUUUCUACAAUUAUUUCUCACUUAAUUUUUAGUUUACAUCCAGUUUUCUGCACCCAAUUAGUCUGACUUUAUUUUAUCUCUUCUUCUCCUAGGCACUUUGAAAUCUCUAGGUUAGGUAUAUCCUUGUCCUAAAGAGGUUGAACCCACAACAAAUCUUCUUCCAUGAAGUGAAUAGGUACCUCGUUGGCCAAUAAAAAUGAUGGGUGGUGAUAACUAAAGUCCUGUUGUAGCGGUGGUAUCCCGCAAGUGAACUGGAUAUCACAUAAAGAGGCAACCCUUCAUCAAGAAGCAAAUAGCAAUGAAACUAGGUCUGACACUUGCAACUCAAUUUUAUAGAAGAAAGGACCUAAUUAAAGUCAACACACCUCAACCAAAGUAUUCAAGAUUGGCUUCCAAAUUUUUCUUGCAUGCAUUCGAAUUGAUGAAUAUGUUUGUUCAUCACCAACCCACCUUCCAGGUAUUAUAGCAGGCCCUUUCUUGCCUAAAGUUUCCCUAGCUAGGAACAUGAUGCCGGUUCUCAAACGGUUUGCAUUAGAUUGACAAUCGAUCAUACGGUCUUGGUCAAUCAUUUUGUGGAGAUUUUUUGACUUGGAGAUAUGUUCCACAACCCCUUUCUCUCAAUAAGGCUUUGACAGAUAAUGAUGAUUAGGGUUUACUAGUAGGACCAGAUUCUCCAAAACGCCACUCAUAACACUAUCUUUCAUCUUCAUUUUGCUGUUGUGAUUCUUAACACUAAUCAACCUAUCUACUUAUCCUUCUCAGUAAUAUUUGAACAUACUCAUAUUAUUGUUGUCGCUACUACUUAACCAUUAUUGAUGCACCCCUCUUUUGUCCAUAUGUUAUAUGUCUCAUACCCAGCCAUUUAUUACUUAACCACAUAUUGUUAUAUACUAUUUAUAAAAAAAAAGAGUGCGAAACUUGCCCAUGCUACAAAAAUAAGUAAUCUGUUUAUUAAAACUCUCAAUUGUAUAAAUUAUGCUUAUGGGCAAAUAAUAUAUAGUUCUCACUUUAAAGAUUAAAGCAACCCUCGUCCUAAUCCUUUCUCACAGCUAACCACCUUACAGCUGCCACUCUCUCCAAAUAUAUACAUUUUUUUUCAUUUCUAAACAUGAAAUUAUUUUAUUUUAAUAAAUUUCUACAGCCCCCAUUUUUCCAGAUAGUUUCCUUAUCAUGUCUAUACAAUUUGCAGGCUUACUGUGCAUUGCACAUGCCUGCAAGCUAAUCCAACUAGACAUACCUGACAACUUAGCUCAAGUGCUUGGACACUUUUGAUUUCUCGACAUUUGGAGUCAUACAAUAUUGAUAUCUUUAACAUUAUCAAAACAUUAUCUCGUAAAUCAGAGGCACAUUGAUAUCACAUGACAUCUUAGAAGCAUCUCUUCACUCAUCCAGUACUUAUGUUAAAUAUGUGCACCUCGUCUAAAUUUUAGGUAUAAGAAAUACCAUAUAAGAAAUGAUCAUAAUAGGAUAUAUUUAGGCCAUUCAUCUAGGGGUGGCAAUUUGCACCGCCCCAUCGGAAAACCGACUCAACCUUAAUGGGGUGGGUUUUACCCGUCUCAUUAAGAGCUGGCAAUGAGAAUAAAAUCCCAAGAAUUGAAACUGUUGGGAUGGUCUGAAUGGUUUGAUGCUUAAGAAAAUCCCAAGCCCCCUCUCUCCACCCGACGGUCCCCUCGCCCGAUCUCACUCUAUUUCCAUCUCUCUCCCUCUCCCUCCAUCUUGGAUGCCUCCUCCCAUGCGUUAGAAGCUUGCUCCCUCUCCUAGGUCAGCUUUCCCUCAUGCCCAUCAAAACCCUCAUCUUCGAUUGGAACUCCUCUUCUUCAUUCCAUCUCCCGCAACCCAAUGAUCGUGGUUGGCUUCCUCCACUGCAUCCUUCAUCUCCAACUACGGCCUACACUUUUCCGAUGGAGAUUCCUAGGUACAACUCUCGAUCUCUCUUUCUCCCUCUUCCCCCCUCUUCUCACCAAUUUUUCGACCCUUCUUCUUGUCUCCGACCUCCUAGGAUUGUGGUUAGGGUUAGGUUCGGGUUCUAUCUCCUCUCUCUCUAUCUCCCUCCCUCCCCCCUCUCUUUUUCCCUCACUCUCUUCCCUCUCCCCUUCCUCUCCCCCCACUC
RNAcentral lists this long non-coding RNA (9669 nucleotides) under Phoenix dactylifera (date palm). RNAcentral's name for it is "long non-coding RNA (PDAC_LNC007119)". The record is from RNAcentral. Lineage: Eukaryota; Viridiplantae; Streptophyta; Magnoliopsida; Arecales; Arecaceae.